CCCUUAGAUGUUCUGGGCCACACGCGCGCUACACUGAUGAAUGCAACGAGCUCUACCCUUGACCGAAAGGCCCGGGUAAACUUGUGAAACUUCAUCGUGAUGGGGAUAGAUUAUUGCAAUUAUUAAUCUUCAACGAGGAAUUCCUAGUAAGCGCGAGUCAUCAGCUCGCGUUGAUUACGUCCCUGCCCUUUGUACACACCGCCCGUCGCUCCUACCGAUUGAAUGGUCCGGUGAAAUCUUCGGAUUGCUGACCAAGAUCCAGCAAUGGAGCUUGGUUGCGAGAAGUUGAUUAAACCUUAUUAUUUAGAGGAAGGAGCAGUCGUAACA
Molecule: ribosomal RNA, 327 nt
Filed under: uncultured eukaryote
Lineage: Eukaryota
Description: partial 18S ribosomal RNA
Rfam family: Eukaryotic small subunit ribosomal RNA
Source: RNAcentral